CUUCCUGGCCUAGGUCAUCGCGCGAGACGAGGAAUCAGGGGAGACCACCAACACGACGGUCAACGUGGAGGUGCUGCGGCCGGGCCAGGCAGCCCCCGUGGACCCUUCCGAAGCCGGGCAGAGCCAGGGCCCGCUGGACGUGGGGAUCCUCGCUGGCAGCCUGGGGGCGCUGCUGCUGCUCACCGCCGCCAUCCUCCUCCUCCUCAUGCACGCCAUGAAGAAGAGGCAGCGCCAUCAGCAGGCCCUGGAGAGGGCCUCCCUGGCCAUCGAGAAGCACCCCAACGUGGUCAACGCCGGGAAGUCGGGCCCCCACCCCGGCAACGUUUACUUUCAGAACGAAGGCUACAGCGACCUG
Long non-coding RNA from Mauremys mutica (yellowpond turtle), 355 nucleotides. RefSeq lists it as uncharacterized. NCBI's taxonomy places the organism in Eukaryota, Metazoa, Chordata, Testudines, Geoemydidae. The record is from RefSeq and is a predicted model, not a curated record. The transcript has 3 exons.